Molecule: ribosomal RNA, 459 nt
Filed under: uncultured bacterium
Lineage: Bacteria
Description: partial 16S ribosomal RNA
Rfam family: Bacterial small subunit ribosomal RNA
Source: RNAcentral
CCUACGGGAGGCAGCAGUGAGGAAUAUUGGUCAAUGGUCGGGAGACUGAACCAGCCAAGCCGCGUGAGGGAUGAAGGUACAGAGUAUCGUAAACCUCUUUUGUCAGGGAACAAAGGCGGGGACGUGUCCCCGGAUGAGUGUACCUGAAGAAAAAGCAUCGGCUAACUCCGUGCCAGCAGCCGCGGUAAUACGGGGGAUGCGAGCUUUAUCCGGAUUUAUUGGGUUUAAAGGGUGCGAAGGCGGUCUGUUAAGUCAGCGGGCAAAGCCCGGGGCUCAACCCCGGCCCGCCGUUGAAACUGGCAGUCUCGAGUUGGAGAGAAGUAUGCGGAAUGCGCGGUGUAGCGGUGAAAUGCAUAGAUAUCGCGCAGAACUCCGAUUGCGAAGGCAGCAUGCCGGCUCCACACUGACGCUGAGGCACGAAAGCGUGGGUAUCGAACAGGAUUAGAUACCCCAGUAGUC